RNAcentral lists this transfer RNA (77 nucleotides) under Planctomycetes bacterium RIFCSPLOWO2_02_FULL_50_16. RNAcentral's name for it is "tRNA-Arg". It matches the Rfam family "tRNA". Rfam says of the family: Transfer RNA (tRNA) molecules are approximately 80 nucleotides in length. Their secondary structure includes four short double-helical elements and three loops (D, anti-codon, and T loops). The record is from RNAcentral. RNAcentral also lists the same sequence under 2 other names. Lineage: Bacteria; Pseudomonadati; Planctomycetota.
GCCCCUAUAGCUCAGUUGAAUAGAGCGUCGGCCUCCGAAGCCGAAGGUCGCAGGUUUGAGUCCUGCUGGGGGCGCCA